UAAACUACAUUUUCUAUAACGGAUAUUGUUAAAACUAAACAAAGUACCGUUCUUUUUGUUGUCCGUUUUGUCAUAAUCUUCACAUUUAUCAAGUCCGCGUUUCCCCUUUUUAAACUACAUUUUCUAUAACGGGUAUUGUUACAAUUAAACAAUAUACCGUUUCUUUUUUCCCGUUUGUAAUAAGUUUCAUAUUUAUUUCAUUUGAAUUCCGCGUUUGGAUACAUGUGCAUAAAGUUUAAAAUAUAUAAAAAUAAAUAUAUAAUUAUUAAAAGCUGUAUUUUAAAAAAUGAGUUCAAAUUCAUCAGAUAAGUAAUAUAAGUUUUAAAUUGAUAAAAAUAUAACUUAAGGUAUUUAAAUAGAUUGUGUCGGAGCGUCAACCAGCCGAGGUGUUAUAAAGCGAGUGCGUGCAAAUUCAUCAGAUUGUGUCGGAGCGUCAAAAAGCCGUGGUAUCGUAAAGCGAACCAAUGUGCUUAAAGCGUCCGAAGUAAAGUCAAUGUGGAAUAUUGGAAAAAUAAUCCAAACAUUUGACUCUAAAGAGAAAUGUAUUUCCUUUGCCGAAGAACAAGGAUUGAUUGUAAAAGCUAAAAUUUGCCGCACGCAUAAAGUGCCAAUGACGCUGUCGCUGUAUAAAAGUAGCACUGUUGGGGUGUUUCCAUGCCGGAAAGGGGUUUGUCGGAACCGAACUGCGUUAGCAAGGUCGACCGAUACUUGGUUCGACAACGUCAAAAUCCCACUUCCGCUCAUCUCAUUGGUCGCAUGCGGAAGUGAGGAAAAACAGUUUUAUCAGGGAACCAGUUUUAUCUAGCGCUACUAUAUGUGACUGGUAUAAUUACUGCUGCGAAGCCGUAGUAUUAUAAAACUGGUAAAAUUAUUCAAAUAGAUGAAAGUAAAUAUGGGAAGAGAAAAUACAACAAAGGGCGAAGAGUCGAGGGCCACUGGGUUCUUGGAAUGGUUGAGGAUGGGAGUGACGACCUUUGGCUGGAGGUAUGUCCCGGCAAUGUCAGGUCUGCUGAGGUGCUCAUACCUUCGAUAGAAAAGCACGUGGCAAAAGGCAGUGUUAUAUGUACUGAUUGUUGGAAGGCAUAUGACUAUCUGGCCAGUCACGGGUAUGAGUACCGACGCGUUAAUCACAGCGACCCCGAUAAUCCGUUCGUCGCCGAGAACGGGACCCACACUGAACGCAUCGAAUCCCAGUGGCGCGUAAUUAGACGUUUUUUUAUAAAAGACAAUUACAAUAAUAGCGAAGAUUUUUCUAAUUUAAUAUUUGAAAAUAUUGCAAAUAAUCAUGAUGAUCCUUUUA
Bactrocera tryoni is the source of this 1300-nucleotide long non-coding RNA. RefSeq lists it as uncharacterized. The record is from RefSeq and is a predicted model, not a curated record. The transcript has 3 exons. Lineage: Eukaryota; Metazoa; Arthropoda; Insecta; Diptera; Tephritidae.